This 495-nucleotide ribosomal RNA is filed under the name uncultured Sphingobacteriales bacterium. Its description in RNAcentral is "bacterial SSU rRNA". It matches the Rfam family "Bacterial small subunit ribosomal RNA", at positions 882 to 1382 of the family's 1533-position model. The record is from RNAcentral. Lineage: Bacteria; Pseudomonadati; Bacteroidota; Sphingobacteriia; Sphingobacteriales.
GCCCGCUCAAGAAACUCAAAUGAAGUUGACGGGGGCCCGCACAAGCGGUGGAGCAUGUGGUUUAAUUCGAUGAUACGCGAGGAACCUUACCUGGGCUCAAAUGUAUGUUGACGUAUUCUGAAAGGGAUACUUCUUCGGACAAUAUACAAGGUGCUGCAUGGUUGUCGUCAGCUCGUGCCGUGAGGUGUCGGGUUAAGUCCCAUAACGAGCGCAACCCCUAUCAUUAGUUGCCAUCAGGGUCAAGCUGGGGACUCUAAUGAAACUGCCUACGCAAGUAGUGAGGAAGGUGGGGAUGACGUCAAAUCAGCACGGCCCUUACGUCCAGGGCUACACACGUGCUACAAUGGCCGGUACAAAGGGCAGCUACCUGGUGACAGGAUGCUAAUCUCAAAAGCCGGUCUCAGUUCGGAUCGGAGUCUGCAACCCGACUGCGUGAAGUCGGAAUCGCUAGUAAUCGUGAAUCAGAAUGUCACGGUGAAUACGUUCCCGGGCCUU